AACAAGGUUUCCGUAGGUGAAC
This 22-nucleotide ribosomal RNA is filed under the name Pulsatilla chinensis. Its description in RNAcentral is "Anemone chinensis partial 18S ribosomal RNA". The record is from RNAcentral. Lineage: Eukaryota; Viridiplantae; Streptophyta; Magnoliopsida; Ranunculales; Ranunculaceae.